UAGAGUUUGAUCCUGGCUCAGAAUGAACGCUGGCGGCGUGCCUAACACAUGCAAGUCGUACGAGAAAGACUGUUUUCGGAUGGUCGAGUAAAGUGGCGCACGGGUGAGUAACGCGUAGGUAACCUACCCUUGUAUUGGGGAUAACAGGACGAAAGUUCUGCUAAUACCGGAUGUGACCUGGGGCUGGAGGGUUUCAGGUUAAAGUGGGCCUCUCGAAGAAGCUCAUGUACAGGGAUGGGCCUGCGUCCUAUCAGCUUGUUGGUGGGGUAAUGGCCUACCAAGGCGACGACGGGUAGCUGGUCUGAGAGGAUGAUCAGCCACACUGGCACUGGAACACGGGCCAGACUCCUACGGGAGGCAGCAGUGAGGAAUUUUGCGCAAUGGGAGCAAUCCUGACGCAGCAACGCCGCGUGGGUGAAGAAGGCCUUCGGGUCGUAAAGCCCUGUCAGGUGGGAAGAAGGGUCCUAUCAGGAAAGGGGUGGGAUUUGACGGUACCACCAGAGGAAGCACCGGCUAACUCCGUGCCAGCAGCCGCGGUAAUACGGAGGGUGCGAGCGUUAUUCGGAAUUACUGGGCGUAAAGCGCGUGUAGGCGGGUGAGCAAGUCUGAUGUGAAAGCCCCGGGCUUAACCCGGGAAGUGCAUUGGAAACUGUUUUUCUUGAGUACUGGAGAGGAAGGGGGAAUUCCCGGUGUAGAGGUGAAAUUCGUAGAGAUCGGGAGGAAUACCAGUGGCGAAGGCGCCCUUCUGGACGGUUACUGACGCUGAGACGCGAAAGCGUGGGGAGCAAACAGGAUUAGAUACCCUGGUAGUCCACGCCGUAAACGAUGA
Molecule: ribosomal RNA, 829 nt
Filed under: uncultured bacterium
Lineage: Bacteria
Description: bacterial SSU rRNA
Rfam family: Bacterial small subunit ribosomal RNA
Source: RNAcentral